AGCACCACAACAGGUGGAGCCUGCGGUUUAAUCGGACUCAACGCCGUGAAACUCACCAGAUAAGACAGCUGAAUGAUAGUCGGGCUGAAGACUCUACUUGACUAGCUGAGAGGAGGUGCAUGGCCGUCGUCAGUUCGUACUGUGAAGCAUCCUGUUAAGUCAGGCAACGAGCGAGACCCACGCCAACAGUUGCCAGCUCGUCCUCCGGGAUGGUGGGGACACUGUUGGGACCGCCUCUGCUAAAGAGGAGGAAGGAAUGGGCAACGGUAGGUCAGCAUGCCCCGAAUUAUCUGGGCUACACGCGGGCUACAAUGGGUGGGACAAUGGGUAUCGACACCGAAAGGUGAAGGCAAUCUCCUAAACCCAUCCGUAGUUCGGAUUGUGGGCUGCAACUCGCCCACAUGAAGCUGGAAUCCGUAGUAAUCGCGUUUCAAAAUAGCGCGGUGAAUAUGUCCCUGCUCCUU
RNAcentral lists this ribosomal RNA (464 nucleotides) under uncultured Methanomicrobiales archaeon. RNAcentral describes it as "bacterial SSU rRNA". It matches the Rfam family "Archaeal small subunit ribosomal RNA", at positions 875 to 1338 of the family's 1478-position model. Lineage: Archaea; Methanobacteriati; Methanobacteriota; Methanomicrobia; Methanomicrobiales. The record is from RNAcentral.